GCUCGAAGGUGCGGGUAUCGAACAGGAUUAGAUACCCUGGUAGUCCGCACGGUAAACGAUGGAUGCCCGGCUGUUUUGCGAUAUACUGUGAGCGGCCAAGAGAAAUCGUUAAGCAUUCCACCUGGGGAGUACGCCGGGCAACGGUGAAACUCAAAGGAAUUGACGGGGGCCCGCACAAGCGGAGGAACAUGUGGUUUAAUUCGAUGAUACGCGAGGAACCUUACCCGGGCUUGAACUGCCAGCGAACGAUUCAGAGAUGAUGAGGCCCUUCGGGGCGCUGGUGGAGGUGCUGCAUGGUUGUCGUCAGCUCGUGCCGUGAGGUGUCGGCUUAAGUGCCAUAACGAGCGCAACCCUUUUCUUUAGUUGCCAUCAGGUAAUGCUGGGCACUCUGGAGAUACUGCCACCGUAAGGUGUGAGGAAGGUGGGGAUGACGUCAAAUCAGCACGGCCCUUACGUCCGGGGCUACACACGUGUUACAAUGGGGGGUACAGAGAGUCGGAUAUACGCAAGUAUGUUCUAAUCCUUAAAGCCUUCCUCAGUUCGGACUGGAGUCUGCAACCCGACUCCACGAAGCUGGAUUCGCUAGUAAUCGCGCAUCAGCCAUGGCGCGGUGAAUACGUUCCCGGGCCUUGUACACACCGCCCGUCAAGCCAUGAAAGCCGGGGGCGCCUGAAGUCCGUUACCGCAAGGAUCGGCCUAGGGCGAAACUGGUAAUUGGGGCUAAGUCGUAACAAGGUAACCGUA
Molecule: ribosomal RNA, 744 nt
Filed under: uncultured bacterium
Lineage: Bacteria
Description: bacterial SSU rRNA
Rfam family: Bacterial small subunit ribosomal RNA
Source: RNAcentral